This 351-nucleotide non-coding RNA is filed under the name Pongo abelii (Sumatran orangutan). The record is from RNAcentral. Lineage: Eukaryota; Metazoa; Chordata; Mammalia; Primates; Hominidae.
AGAUUCAUGGCAACUGGACUGAAGAAAUUAUUUUGGGAAAACCCCAAAGUGAGAAAAACAAGUGCUGAGUAAUUUUCUUGGGGAAAACUAGACAAUCCACCAGCCCAGGAGGGGACAAGCAGGCUUAAUCCCCCUCCUCGUCAUCUCUGGCUCCAGCCCCACCCUGGCCCUUCCUGGCAUUCUUCCUCUUCACGUGGCUGGGGUGGCCACCCCAAUAGGGAGGCAGAGGGAGAAGUCCAUGUGCUUCUGGGAAUCCAGGCGGACAGUGAAGAACAGGAUAUUUACCACCUGCUCACGGAUAUGAUACUGUUGGAUCAGCACACGAGCGUGGCGGAUGGACUUAAGCCAAGC